RNAcentral lists this ribosomal RNA (451 nucleotides) under uncultured bacterium. RNAcentral describes it as "partial 16S ribosomal RNA". It matches the Rfam family "Bacterial small subunit ribosomal RNA", at positions 28 to 507 of the family's 1533-position model. The record is from RNAcentral.
GAUGAACGCUGGCGGCGUGCCUAACACAUGCAAGUCGAGCGGCAGCGCGGGGUGCUUGCACCCUGUCGGCGAGCGGCGGACGGCUGAGUAACGCGUGGGAACGUGCCCCAAAGUGAGGAAUAACUGCCCGAAAGGGUAGCUAAUACCGCAUAUUAUCUUCGGAUCAAAGGAUUUAUCCGCUUUGGGAGCGGCUCGCGUCGGAUUAGGUAGUUGGUGAGGUAAUGGCUCACCAAGCCGACGAUCCGUAGCUGGUCUGAGAGGAUGACCAGCCAGACUGGAACUGAGACACGGUCCAGACUCCUACGGGAGGCAGCAGUGAGGAAUCUUCCACAAUGGGCGAAAGCCUGAUGGAGCAACGCCGCGUGCAGGACGAAGGCCUUCGGGUUGUAAACUGCUUUUAUAAGUGAGGAAUAUGACGGUAACUUAUGAAUAAGGAUCGGCUAACUACGUG